Long non-coding RNA from Mus musculus (house mouse), 459 nucleotides. RefSeq annotates it as predicted gene, 40732. NCBI's taxonomy places the organism in Eukaryota, Metazoa, Chordata, Mammalia, Rodentia, Muridae. The record is from RefSeq and is a predicted model, not a curated record. The transcript has 2 exons.
GAGGAAGAGGAGGCAGUCGAAACACGAGGAGAGGAAGGGAAUUGAAAAUGAAGCUAAACGAUGCCAAAUAGCUCAAGGAAGUCCCGGAAACUGACCAGAUUCUCUAGGUUUCUCUUUUCCAAAAUGUAAUCAAGCCAAUCUGCUCAGUGUCUGUCUCAGACAAGACAAGCUACAAAGACAAUGGAAACCAGGUCAGCUAGGUCCCUGUUUGGAGCAGGAAACAUAAUUCUUCCUGGAAGAAAUUUAGAUGAACUGAGACUUAAAAGAGACACUCUUCCACCAGUUGAGCUGCUGUCAGGCUGUGCAGUGUGCUCCAACUUCCCUGCUUCAGUGAGCUUGUAAGCCAUGCUGGGAUGGGCUGGGAUGAUGCAUCUCUCUGUGAGUCAUUUCUUUUCCUGUGAGUCAACUCCCAGCUCACAUUCCUGUUUGUACAGGGAAUACAAUUCAUUGCAUCACCAA